Molecule: transfer RNA, 64 nt
Filed under: Barleria prionitis
Lineage: Eukaryota; Viridiplantae; Streptophyta; Magnoliopsida; Lamiales; Acanthaceae
Also listed under: 4 other names
Description: tRNA-His
Rfam family: tRNA
About the family: Transfer RNA (tRNA) molecules are approximately 80 nucleotides in length. Their secondary structure includes four short double-helical elements and three loops (D, anti-codon, and T loops).
Source: RNAcentral
GGCGGAUGUAGCCAAGUGGAUCAAGGCAGUGGAUUGUGAAUCCACCAUGCGCGGGUUCAAUUCC